CCUACGGGAGGCAGCAGUGAGGAAUAUUGGUCAAUGGGCUUACGCCUGAACCAGCCAAGUCGCGUGAGGGAAGACUGCCCUAUGGGUUGUAAACCUCUUUUGUCAGGGAGCAACGCCGGCUACGUGUAGCCGGACUGAGAGUACCUGAAGAAAAAGCAUCGGCUAACUCCGUGCCAGCAGCCGCGGUAAUACCGGGGAUGCGAGCGUUAGCCGGAUUUAUUGGGGUUAAAGGGUGCGUAGGCGGAAUGCCAAGUCAGCGGUAAAAUCGCGGGGCUCAACCUCGCUCCGCCGUUGAAACUGGCGGUCUUGAGUGGGCGAGAGGUACGCGGAAUGCGCGGUGUAGCGGUGAAAUGCAUAGAUAUCGCGCAGAACGCCGAUUGCGAAGGCAGCGUACCGGCGCCAGACUGACGCUGAGGCACGAAAGCGUGGGGAUCGAACAGGAUUAGAUACCCCAGUAGUC
RNAcentral lists this ribosomal RNA (460 nucleotides) under uncultured bacterium. RNAcentral describes it as "partial 16S ribosomal RNA". It matches the Rfam family "Bacterial small subunit ribosomal RNA", at positions 338 to 795 of the family's 1533-position model. The record is from RNAcentral.